RNAcentral lists this ribosomal RNA (468 nucleotides) under uncultured bacterium. RNAcentral describes it as "partial 16S ribosomal RNA". It matches the Rfam family "Bacterial small subunit ribosomal RNA", at positions 28 to 507 of the family's 1533-position model. The record is from RNAcentral.
GACGAACGCUGGCGGCGUGCUUAACACAUGCAAGUCGAACGGAAAGGCCCUGCUUUUGUGGGGUGCUCGAGUGGCGAACGGGUGAGUAACACGUGAGUAACCUGCCCUUGACUUUGGGAUAACUUCAGGAAACUGGGGCUAAUACCGGAUAGGAGCUCCUGCUGCAUGGUGGGGGUUGGAAAGUUUCGGCGGUUGGGGAUGGACUCGCGGCUUAUCAGCUUGUUGGUGGGGUAGUGGCUUACCAAGGCUUUGACGGGUAGCCGGCCUGAGAGGGUGACCGGCAACAGUGGGACUGAGAUAGGGGCCGGACGCCGGCGGGAGGAAGAAGGGGGGAAGGUGGAAGAAGGGCGGGGAGCCGGAAGCAGCAAUGCCGGGGGAGGGAGGAAGGGCUGCGGGGUGGAAAAAGCGGUCGCCGGUGAAGAAGGGGGAGGGACGGGAAUGGGUAAAGAAACAACGGCUAACUACGGG